CUUGCUCUUCUUGGAUGAGUUGCGAACGGGUGAGUAACGCGUAGGUAACCUGCCUUGUAGCGGGGGAUAACUAUUGGAAACGAUAGCUAAUACCGCAUAACAAUGGAUGACACAUGUCAUUUAUUUGAAAGGGGCAAUUGCUCCACUACAAGAUGGACCUGCGUUGUAUUAGCUAGUAGGUGAGGUAAUGGCUCACCUAGGCGACGAUACAUAGCCGACCUGAGAGGGUGAUCGGCCACACUGGGACUGAGACACGGCCCAGACUCCUACGGGAGGCAGCAGUAGGGAAUCUUCGGCAAUGGGGGCAACCCUGACCGAGCAACGCCGCGUGAGUGAAGAAGGUUUUCGGAUCGUAAAGCUCUGUUGUAAGUCAAGAACGGGUGUGAGAGUGGAAAGUUCACACUGUGACGGUAGCUUACCAGAAAGGGACGGCUAACUACGUGCCAGCAGCCGCGGUAAUACGUAGGUCCCGAGCGUUGUCCGGAUUUAUUGGGCGUAAAGCGAGCGCAGGCGGUUUGAUAAGUCUGAAGUUAAAGGCUGUGGCUCAACCAUAGUUCGCUUUGGAAACUGUCAAACUUGAGUGCAGAAGGGGAGAGUGGAAUUCCAUGUGUAGCGGUGAAAUGCGUAGAUAUAUGGAGGAACACCGGUGGCGAAAGCGGCUCUCUGGUCUGUAACUGACGCUGAGGCUCGAAAGCGUGGGGAGCGAACAGGAUUAGAUACCCUGGUAGUCCACGCCGUAAACGAUGAGUG
RNAcentral lists this ribosomal RNA (750 nucleotides) under Streptococcus thermophilus. RNAcentral's name for it is "bacterial SSU rRNA". It matches the Rfam family "Bacterial small subunit ribosomal RNA", at positions 79 to 815 of the family's 1533-position model. The record is from RNAcentral. Lineage: Bacteria; Bacillati; Bacillota; Bacilli; Lactobacillales; Streptococcaceae.